Lolium perenne is the source of this 318-nucleotide non-coding RNA. The record is from RefSeq and is a predicted model, not a curated record. Lineage: Eukaryota; Viridiplantae; Streptophyta; Magnoliopsida; Poales; Poaceae.
CUUCCCCUCUAUCCAGGCAGAGCCGCGAGGACCUCUCCGGAAGCGUGCCUUUGACUCCUUCGACCCGGAUCCCUACAUCUUUUGGAAGGAUCUGAAGAUGGGGAAGACUCCGGCUGCGCGCCUUGGCCGGGACCCGCCGGAGCCCACCGGAAAUCCGGAGGAGCUGGUUGUGCUCGAGGUCACCGCUGACACUCGGAAGGCCCUCUUCGAGGAGCUUUUAUGGGAGCACCGGGAGCUCGCUGAGGCACAUGACAAGUGCCAAGUGAUCCCGGAAGCUUCCAUCGAUGCUCUCAAGGAGCAGCUCGCCACGGCCCAACG